This 773-nucleotide ribosomal RNA is filed under the name uncultured Neocallimastigales. RNAcentral's name for it is "partial large subunit ribosomal RNA". It matches the Rfam family "Eukaryotic large subunit ribosomal RNA", at positions 22 to 645 of the family's 3401-position model. Lineage: Eukaryota; Fungi; Neocallimastigomycota; Neocallimastigomycetes; Neocallimastigales. The record is from RNAcentral.
UACACGCUGUGACUAGCAUAUCAAUAAGCGGAGGAAAAGAAACUAACAAGGAUUCCCCUAGUAACGGCGAGUGAAGCGGGAAGAGCUCAAAUUUGAAAUCUUAAAGGGUUUCCCUUUACGAAUUGUAGUUUAAAGAAGUGUUUUCUGUUGAGGUUUUGGUAAAAGUUCUUUGGAAUAGGACAUCAUAGAGGGUGAGAAUCCCGUAUUUGACCUUUACUUUCAACUUUGUGAUACACUUUCAAAGAGUCGGAUUGUUUGGGAAUGCAGUCCAAAAUGGGUGGUAAAUUUCAUCUAAAGCUAAAUAUUGGCGAGAGACCGAUAACGAACAAGUACCGUGAGGGAAAGAUGAAAAGAACUUUGAAAAGAGAGUUAAACAGUACGUGAAAUUGUCAAAAGGGAAGCGUUUGACACCAGUGUUGUUUUUCUGAAAAUCAAUUAAAGAACUGUUUAUGCUAAGUUGUUUAGACUUUAUCAGCUAACUGUUUAGUUUUGAGCUUUUCUUUAAUGCACUUUUCAGUUAACAAGUCAACAUCAAUUUCUUUUGCUGUAAAAAAGCUUGAGGAAGGUGGCUUGAGAUUCGUCUUAAGUGUUUAUAGCCUCUUGCCUAUGCAGUCGGAGAGAUUGAGGUCUGCAGCGUAGAUCCUUCGGGGCUAAAUGCAUUUGUGCUAAGUUAUAGCAUUUUAUAGACAACUUGUUGACUAUGAUUUGUCUUGUAGCUUACUCGCUUAUGUUAUUUUACCUACGCUUAGGAUGUUGAAGUCAUCGUAUCGCGC